CGAGUCGACCGGGCGGCCGCGUCGGUGUUCCCAGGAACACCGCCGAGGAACGUCCGGACUCCACAGAGCAGGGUGGUUGCUAACAGCAACCCGGGGUGACCCGCGGGAAAGUGCCACAGAGAAAAGACCGCCGGCCACGGCCGGUAAGGGUGAAACGGUGGAGUAAGAGCCCACCAGCACCCCGGGCGACCGGGGUGGCUCGGUAAACCCCACCCGGAGCAAGGCCAAGCAAGGCUGACGUCGCAAGACCGAAGCCGGCGCAGGCACUCGAGGGCUGCUCGCCCGAGUCUGCGGGUAGGCCGCACGAGCUUGCCGGCAACGGCAAGCCUAGAUGGAUGGCCGCCACCGGCGACCGCAAGGCCGCCGCACACAGAAUCCGGCGUACAGGUCGACUCGUCCG
RNAcentral lists this RNase P RNA (400 nucleotides) under Actinoplanes friuliensis DSM 7358. RNAcentral describes it as "Bacterial RNase P class A". It matches the Rfam family "Bacterial RNase P class A". From Rfam's summary of the family: Ribonuclease P (RNase P) is a ubiquitous endoribonuclease, found in archaea, bacteria and eukarya as well as chloroplasts and mitochondria. Its best characterised activity is the generation of mature 5'-ends of tRNAs by cleaving the 5'-leader elements of precursor-tRNAs. Lineage: Bacteria; Bacillati; Actinomycetota; Actinomycetes; Micromonosporales; Micromonosporaceae. The record is from Rfam by way of RNAcentral.